CGAUGCCAACCUUAUGAAGUUCAACCAAGCCAAGGGCAAUCCCAGGCACAGCUACAGGUUAGGUGGAGAAGUGAUUCGGAGCAGCCCUACAGAGGAGGACUUGGGCAUGUUGGUCGAUGAGAAACUGAACA
This is a long non-coding RNA of Strigops habroptila (Kakapo), 131 nucleotides long. RefSeq lists it as uncharacterized. NCBI's taxonomy places the organism in Eukaryota, Metazoa, Chordata, Aves, Psittaciformes, Psittacidae. The record is from RefSeq and is a predicted model, not a curated record. The transcript is spliced from 2 exons.